RNAcentral lists this ribosomal RNA (465 nucleotides) under uncultured bacterium. RNAcentral's name for it is "partial 16S ribosomal RNA". It matches the Rfam family "Bacterial small subunit ribosomal RNA", at positions 338 to 795 of the family's 1533-position model. The record is from RNAcentral.
CCUACGGGAGGCUGCAGUAGGGAAUCUUCCACAAUGGGCGAAAGCCUGAUGGAGCGACGCCGCGUGGGUGAAGAAGGUCUUCGGAUCGUAAACCCCUGUUGUUAGAGAAGAAAGUUCGUGAGAGUAACUGUUAACGUUUCGACGGUAUCUAACAAGAAAGCAACGGCUAACUCCGUGCCAGCAGCCGCGGUAAUACGGAGGUGGCGAGCGUUAACCGGAUUUAUUGGGCGUAAAGGGAACGAUGGCGGUCUUUUAAGUCGGAGGUGAAAGCCUUCGGCUUAACGGGGGAAGUGCAUUGGAAACUGGGAGACUGGAGGGCGGAAGAGGGGAGUGGAACUCGAGGUGUAGCGGUGAAAUGCGUAGAUAUCUGGAAGAACACCAGUGGCGAAGGCGGCUAUCUGGUCUGUAACUGACGCUGAGGUUCGAAAGCGUGGGUAGCAAACAGGAUUAGAUACCCCUGUAGUC